CGGCAUUUGACAGAUUUCAACGGUUGUGACUGAAGGCCUUGUUUUGAGGGUGUUUUGCAGACCAGUGCUUGUCGGCCUGGGGAUUUUCCAGAAAAACUGUAGACUGCCCCCUUAAGGUUUAGGUCUGAGAGUGUAUGCCAGAGUGUCUGCCUGUGCUAACCCUGCUGUGGUUCUGACGAAUUGACUGUCCCUGGCUUCCUUGUCUGUCAGCCGUACCAGUCGUUUAGAAGCUUUCGGCGCCUCGGAACUUGCACUGGAAACUCCAGGUUGUGACUGAAGGCCUUGUUUUGAGGGUGUUUUGCAGACCAGUGCUUGUCGGCCUGGGGAUUUUCCAGAAAAACUGUAGACUGCCCCCUUAAGAUUCAUCUGUGCUUAAGACCCUGUGACUCAUGGCCGCUGCUUUUUUUUCGAGUUUUCCCCCGGAUCAGCUUGUAGUGAAACUGGAAGCUGUUCUGGGUGAAAAGAGUUUAGGUCUGAGAGUGUAUGCCAGAGUGUCUGCCUGUGCUAACCCUGCUGUGGUUCUGACGAAUUGACUGUCCCUGGCUUCCUUGUCUGUCAGCCGUACCAGUCGUUUAGAAGCUUUCGGCGCCUCGGAACUUGCACUGGAAACUCCAGGUUGUGACUGAAGGCCUUGUUUUGAGGGUGUUUUGCAGACCAGUGCUUGUCGGCCUGGGGAUUUUCCAGAAAAACUGUAGACUGCCCCCUUAAGGUUUAGGUCUGAGAGUGUAUGCCAGAGUGUCUGCCUGUGCUAACCCUGCUGUGGUUCUGACGAAUUGACUGUCCCUGGCUUCCUUGUCUGUCAGCCGUACCAGUCGUUUAGAAGCUUUCGGCGCCUCGGAACUUGCACUGGAAACUCCAGGUUGUGACUGAAGGCCUUGUUUUGAGGGUGUUUUGCAGACCAGUGCUUGUCGGCCUGGGGAUUUUCCAGAAAAACUGUAGACUGCCCCCUUAAGGUUUAGGUCUGAGAGUGUAUGCCAGAGUGUCUGCCUGUGCUAACCCUGCUGUGGUUCUGACGAAUUGACUGUCCCUGGCUUCCUUGUCUGUCAGCCGUACCAGUCGUUUAGAAGCUUUCGGCGCCUCGGAACUUGCACUGGAAACUCCAGGUUGUGACUGAAGGCCUUGUUUUGAGGGUGUUUUGCAGACCAGUGCUUGUCGGCCUGGGGAUUUUCCAGAAAAACUGUAGACUGCCCCCUUAAUUUUAACACAUUUUAACGUGCUAGUUGUAGACAGAAAAUGCGAGACGGAGAUGGCACAAGCCGAUAAAUGCCAAUCCACAGACAUCUUAGGCAUCAAUAUGGAAGGAUGUUGGUGCAACAAAGACCUCUGUAACAGCGCCCUGGGCGUUUCUGCAAGAGUCUCCCUUAUUUUGGGUCUGAUUGUCAUGUCUAUAUUCUAUCUGUAAAGAAGUAAUCGGGGGCGAGGUGGUGAGAUGCAAUGUGUUUAGCACACGACUGAUGAAAUGUGUUUAGCGCACGGCUUAUGAAAUGUGUAAAGCAAACGGCUUUGCUUGAUUAUUUUUGUUUGAAAAGAUAGUUGUAACAUCGACUUAAACUUUCAUUAUUUUUGUAUUAAGUAUAUUUCAUUUUUGGAUGUAUCGAUUCUUAUUAUUACGUUUCUCUUUGUAAUCAUGAUAUCCAUUCUCGCUGUCUUUGUGGAGAUUUGAUUUUUCUAUUGAAUAGUAACGUUCGUCGUUUGUAAGCUUUGAUUAAAUCUGGAAUAAAAUUUUUCUCCAA
Molecule: long non-coding RNA, 1733 nt
Organism: Dreissena polymorpha
Lineage: Eukaryota; Metazoa; Mollusca; Bivalvia; Myida; Dreissenidae
Exons: 12
Source: RefSeq, a predicted model, not a curated record